Molecule: ribosomal RNA, 508 nt
Filed under: uncultured bacterium
Lineage: Bacteria
Description: bacterial SSU rRNA
Rfam family: Bacterial small subunit ribosomal RNA
Source: RNAcentral
GAUUAUGGCUCAGGAUGAACGCUAGCGGCAGGCUUAACACAUGCAAGUCGAGGGGCAUCGGGAGUAGCAAUACUUGCCGGCGACCGGCGCAAGGGUGCGUAACGCGUGAGCAACAUGCCCGUAUCAGGGGGAUAAUCCAUGGAAACGUGGUCUAAUACCCCAUAGUAAUUAUGUAAGGCAUCUUAUAUAAUUUAAAGCUUUGGUGGAUACGGAUUGGCUCGCGUGACAUUAGCUGGAUGGUAAGGUAACGGCUUACCAUGGCUACGAUGUCUAGGGGUUCUGAGAGGAAGGUCCCCCACACUGGAACUGAGACACGGUCCAGACUCCUACGGGAGGCAGCAGUGAGGAAUAUUGGACAAUGGAUGGAAAUCUGAUCCAGCCAUGCCGCGUGCAGGAAGACGGCCCUAUGGGUUGUAAACUGCUUUUGUAUGGGAGCAAUAAGGGCUACGUGUAGUCCGAUGAGAGUACCAUACGAAUAAGCACCGGCUAACUCCGUGCCAGCAGCCGC